GGACAUGGCCUUUAUCCUGGUCCUCAAAGAACUAAUAGUCUGUCUGGGAAGCUAAUGUACAUGAAACAUUUAGUGAAAACCAAAGCACUUGAACUAUGUGUUAUUGAUUAUUCAAGAAAGAAUCCAGAUAAGGGAUAAAUCAAUGUGGAUUUGUUUCUUGGGGAAGGCUUUCUGGAUCAUGUCACAAGUGAGGUGCCAAAGGAUUAAAGGAACUUAUUAAGAAGGCAAUAAAGAGGGGGUGAACAAAGAUUCAUAAUGAGCUUAGAGGUCAGUGAACUUAUGUACCUGAGGCAGAGACUUAAUUUUGGAGACUAGGGAAUGAAGUGGAAUAGGAUGGUGGGAUACUUCAAAAAUCAGGCAUAUGUUAAGCUAUAGAUAGUCAGGUGAGUUUUUUUCUUUUAAACUUAGUGUUAACCUCUAAGUUUUUAUGGGACAAAGGGAGGAUAAAUUAAUAAAUUACUGACUAAUUGAAUGAAUGAAUAAAUAAAUUGUAUUGUAAAGACACUGUAGAUAUUAUAACUGGCCUCUUACAUAGAAAUUUGUCUAAGCUGGGAGUUUGGGGUUCCUCUGCAAGAUCUCAGCAACAUAGGUUGCCAGGGAACAAGAGAAGUCAAGACCAGGUAUCACAGCGACUGGGAGCCUGGCUGUGCUCACGUUAGCCAGCAGUCUAGUCCUCAGUGAACAAGAAGAAGUGUUGGAUCUGAGGAGAUCCAGUUCAGCAGGAGAUUUGGUUAACUAGAAUGUGGAGAGCAGGUAAGACUGAGUCAGGAAUGGUGCUGUCUUGGAAUUUGGGCAAUGUAAAUUCCAGCCGGCAGCUUGAGUUCUGGAAUAGACUGGUGGACGGUGAUAUCAGGGCCCUACUCAAGUAGAUUGAAGUAUAGGGCAAGGCACAAGGUCUUGAAGGAAAAAGGAAAGCUAGCCAGGGCAAACAGUUCAGGAGACUGGGCCAAUAUGUGUGGAGUUAGCAGGGCAACGGGGGAAUGAUGAUGAAGCUGUGUGGAGUAAGCUCAGGGCAAUUCAGAGCAUUUGUGGCCAAGAAAGGAAUACCAUUGCUGCUAUCUGGUGUGUGUGUGUGUGUGGUUGCUUCUCUUUUGCCUGCCUGCUGAAGAUGCAUUGAAGAUCACAGCUGUGCUGAGCCUCUUAAGUAGAUCCUUCAGGGGCCCUACCUCAGACAGAUCUUGGAAUGAAUGGCUGAAGCGGAGGCCCGGUGGAGGUAGCAUCACUUGGAAGGAGUUGACUACAGCACAGGAGAUGGAGGCAUAGCUAGGAGCCUGUCAUAUCCCAGGCUGAGGAGAACAGGGUUUGGCAAAGGGGUGGGGAGGACUUAGUAGAAAUUCAGAAGCAAAGGGAGCUGCAAAAGACAUUUCAAAUUAAGAAGAGGCUUCAGUGACAAGUUUGAUAUAAUGGAUAGGGAAAGAAGAACCUAAAAUGAUUCCAGGUCCAUUUUAAAUGCUCAUGUACUUUGACAUUUUUGUUCCUGAGCUGAAAGGUGUUGUAUUUCUUCUAAACCCAAAACAAUUUUAUUUGACAGAAGACAAAAACAAAAGUUAUUUACAGUAGUGUUUUGCUCAAAUAAUUCAAUGGGAUAACUGUGCUUCUGCUCUAGGUUUAUCUCCCAGCCACACCAUGCAGAGGCUGCCCCACUCGCAGCCUCCCCAUCUUGCACAAGGGGAGAAUGCCAACCAGAAUUCAGCAGCAUGGCUCUCUCACCCUUCACCCCUCACCACCUCUAUUGCUCAGUGCACCAUCGGAAGGAAAAGUCCCACCCUAGUUGAGUACACUUCCAGGAUCACUUGCUAUAAUCAUCUUCCCACACUCACACCAGACCUGAGCUCACAGACGUGGGGUGGGGUGGGAGAUGCUGGGCAAAUAGCAGCUUCAACUAAUCUUGAAGCCUCUGUGUUCUUUCUUCCAGAGCUGAGCCUCAGGAGGGUGAGGAUCCCCGAUCCCCUGGGACAUGCAAGGAGGGGGUGGGGUGGCAAAAGAGUGAGCCUAGGAAACUUGCCCACUCACAGAGAGCAAAGUUCCCUCUCCUUAAAUAACCAAUCCCCAUUCCCCCAGCAUAGGCCAGGCCGCCACUGUGAAGUCGAGUAGAGCUGAUAGGUAUUUUCAACUGACGUAUCCCUUUGGCCUAUUCUUUAAAA
Molecule: long non-coding RNA, 2144 nt
Filed under: Canis lupus familiaris (dog)
Lineage: Eukaryota; Metazoa; Chordata; Mammalia; Carnivora; Canidae
Description: lncRNA (ENSCAFG00845015672.1)
Source: RNAcentral